Molecule: long non-coding RNA, 3528 nt
Organism: Ostrea edulis (European flat oyster)
Lineage: Eukaryota; Metazoa; Mollusca; Bivalvia; Ostreida; Ostreidae
Exons: 4
Source: RefSeq, a predicted model, not a curated record
CCCUUAAAAUAUAUAAAAAUGAAAGUAAAUGUUGAAUGCGAGUAUUGGUGUUAUAAAUAUGUAUCAGAAUCCGGGGUUUAAAAAAACAUGUUAGAUUUUAAAAAUAGGAGCACAACUAAAGCUGUAUACAUGCUAGAACCGGAUAUGGUACCGUAUUUUUGUCAUUUUUCACCAAAAACUGGUUAUUUUGUAAAGGUUUUGCCAUACUGGUUUCAUCUCGCCCAAAAUAUUUAAAGUAUUUUUAUAAUAUACACCUUUUCAAUUGACCAUAAAUGCAAAAAUAUUUUAGGGCGAGCUAGGAGCACUAUUUUUAUUUUUCAAAAAACGAUAUUCCGGAUUGCUGAAAAAUAUUACGGUUAUAAUGCGCUGGUGGUGGUAAACUUGAAUUUUACAGAAAAUAUGGCUGGUUUAAGUAUCUUAUGGAGAAGGAAACUACGUUUUUUAUUUCGUGGCAUGUAUAUGUACAUAGGUCAUUUUAGUUUGGUGUUUAUUUUUAAAGUAAGGGGAAUUCCCUCACCUAAUAAUAGUUUUCGGUUGCAGCUUGUUUUGCCCUUUUACUAUAGAUGUUCAUUUUCAAUACCUAGUUGUUUUCAUCUUUUAAGGUCGUUCACAAUACAUCUUCAUUUUUGGUAGUUUUACAUUAUUAUCAUAAACAUUAUCAUUUAACGAAACGACAGUUAUUGAAACUGUUAGGCCUAGUGACUGAAAUGAACAUGGCGCAGCGUCUUCUUUUACUUUGGGAUAUCGGAAAAUAUUCAGGCUUCACGCAAGUAUUCUUGUAUGGUACUGAUAUCAUAUCGAAUAAUUUUUGCUUUAUUUAUUUUACAAAAUUGUUACUACGCAGCUUUAGACUGUCAACAUUCGAAAUAACUGUUUUAUUUAACCUAACUUUAUGUACAUUGGGAGCAAAUCCUUCUUUGAUUUACAGUACAUCCAAGUUUCGGGCUGAAUAUUAGCAUGGCCUGGUCAGGCAAAAGGGAAUUCAAAAUAACAGAUUUAAACUACAAUAUGACUUACCAUAGCAUGCAGCAUUGCCGCCAGUUAAAUCCGAAACACUAAAUUAUGUAAGCAAUUCAUAGAUAGCGAUCCACAUGUUAUCGAUGAGACAUGACGUCAUCUGUUGUAAGACAUUCAUGACGCAUUUUAUGCUUCGAUAGGCGGAUCAAGUAACCCCCAUAUGAAAAUACUCGAUAUACCGGUUUUUUUAAAUUUUUAUUUCACAUAUGAUAUCGUUGUACAUGUCAAGAGUUUUUUAUUUUCUAUUUUUAUGUAACUUUACUUGUAAACAAAGACUGCGUUUUGUUUUUUGUUUGGGGGGGGGGGGGGGGGGGGGGGUAAGACAGUACAGUAUUUAUUGUGCAUGUUUAAUUCGGUUGAUUUUCAAUUUCAUGGCCUAGUUCGAGGGCCUAUCAAUGUAUCAGUGUUCCAUUGUCCAAUGCAAAAUUAGAAAAGGAAAAGUAGUGUCGACUUGGUUGUCAAGGAGGUGUGUCCCCAUGCCAAGUUACAUUUACACAAUAUAAACAAAUAUUUUUUUCAGCGUGCUCAACAAAUCAAAUUGCGUGAUACAAGUAAAAUUAAAUUAUGACAGAUGGACUGAAUGCUAUAUUAUAUAUGUUUUGCCAAUUGAUAAACUGGACAUGUGUUGUGCCAAUAAAUAUAUCUUAAUUUAAUAAUCCAGCCUACAAUAGCAACAGGAAAUUGUGCUUAAAUUGCCAAAUCUUCAAAACCUUAAAUUGUGUACAUGUGUGUGGUGGCGGUGGUGGGUGCUGGUCUUCAUCCACUCAAACUGUCCCAAUCCCCCUCCCAAAUUCAAUUUCUUUAAGUGUGCAGUGGAUAGAUCGCCACAUGGACCCAUCCAAGUCUACUGUAAGGAUGUUUUAAAAUAUCGGUUUCAAAUGCAAUUAGUUCACACACAAAAAUAUAUAGACAACAUUAUUUGACGAUUUGCAUUUUAGUUGCUUCUAUUCAUACACACUAUACAACAUUACUGAAUCUAUGAGAGAGAGAGAGAGAGAGAGAGAGAGAGAGAGAGAGAGAGAGCACCAGUAAUUGUAUACAGGUACGGGAAGUUUAAUCAAAUCUUAAAUGUACAAUUAUAUUAUUCUUAUUAAUUAACCAUUCCACUUCAUUCUGAUAUAUUUCAUUUCCCUUUUUUCCAUUUUAAAUUAUUCGGCUGGCGCGAGUUAGGACUGCCCCCCCCCCCUCCCUUUUUUAAACCGAUGUUACGUGCCUAGCUAUCUAACGCCCUCUCAGUCAAAAAUGAAAUAAAUAUAUAAUUUAUAUUACUACAACUUCAUUGGAUUUACUAGACUUUUUUCCCCCACCGUAAUACAUGUUUAUGCAAGCUGACAAUCUAGGUAUUUUAAAAUUUUUUUUCCAUCUUCGAUAGCAAAAUGUAUUCAGUCCACGAAGAGCAGAAUGGACCCAAAACCCAUGGCAACCGAAGAUGAUUUUUACCCCCGUUUUCGGGUGUUAUAACUGACCAAAAAAAAAAAAAGAGUAUGUUUUAUAACUUUCAUUCAGAAGACGGGAAAGUUCAUGAGUCACUGAAUAAACAAAAAAUCGUCCGCAGUCUUAUUUCAAUCGCGUUGUCAACUGUAUACUUUUUGAUAUUUCUACACUACCUGUAAACAUGUAGACAGCGGAUCUAAAUCAUCUAAUAUUCUUAAUUACAAUAAAAAAUAUACAUUAAAAGACAUGUGGUGCACUAAUAUAAAUGUCAAUCUUUUAAAAUAAUCGCACAAAUAAAACAAUGCUUUUACUUGUCAUUUUAUGGUCCACAUUUUUUUGAGUUGCUAUAAUUCAUGCUAUUUAACAAAUUGAAAUCAAUGCCAAUUUAUACCAUGUGAUAUUCGUUUGUUCAUUUUCAAAGUCAAAUGAUCCUGAAAGUCUCUUAUUUGGUGAACUCGUGCUGUGAAACAAUGUACCGACUAACACGUACAGGUGUUUGUGUACGGGGUGUCGAGAAUUUGGUCGUUUCAUAAACACCCCUACUAACGUGUUCGGAACAUAUUCUUUAUCGGUGUUAAGUAGAGCGUAAAAUCAAAGACUAUCAAAUGAAAUAUAAUCUCGCUGCUCCGAGACUCCAACGCGAGCUACCUGAGACCCGGUGAAUUUUCUACCGGAUAUGGAUGUGCUUUAAGGAAUUCCAGUGUUAAUUGUACUUUUUGGGGACUUUGAGUGAUUCACCACCCUUUGAACAAAUGUAUUUUGAGAUCCUCAAAGGAAUCCUAGAUUUGUCAAGAAGCCAUGUUUUAAUUGCUGCCCAUCAAAUAGUACUGUGUCUUGCAUGUGUAAAUUAGAUUCAUUUUGAGGAAAUAGCUGGUGUGCAGUGCACAUUCCUAAAUGAAUUCAUCAGUUUACAUUAAGGAUCUACCUUCAAAUCCUGUAAUCUGGGAUGCUCUAAAGUGCAUGUCACAGACUAAAGUUAUAGAAAUAACUUCCAAGAAUUUUUAAGAAAUUGAUAUAACUUUGAAAUGUAUGUAUAUACAUGUAUACUGAUGUUGAAUUAAAUUUUAUAAAAUUUCA